GGUUCUGUUUGCUGAGCCCUGAGGGGGAGGGGGGCCGCCCGGGCCUGAGCUGCUGGAGGGGAAGCAGGCCCAUGCCCCACCUGGGGUGGUCUGAACUCCACAGAGCCCCGGCAGGCCCAGGCUGGGGCCAGGGGCCAGGUGCAGGCUGCCAGACUGCCCACACUUAACCAAAGCCCAGGUGGCAGGAUGAUACCUCCCGGUCCUGGGUUGAUGGUGGGACAGGAAAAGGACUUUGAUUUCAGUAUGUCACCCUGGAAAGACGCUGGGUCUAAAGGCAGGUCUGGGGUACCAGUAGCAGCGCUGGGGUUGCUAGUGGGGAGCAAACAGGCCAAGGUGGGUGUGCCUGGUGUAGAGCAUGGUCGGCUUUUGUCUUUCAGGUGCUAUCCACUGGGUUUGUGGUCCUGGAAUUCAAAAUAAAUUGAGGGAAAGAAUAACUAGGACAGGACGGGCCAGAGAGAACGGCCAGGUUACUAGAGUCGUCCACCACCACGGCACAUCAGCCCCAAGUUCUCUGAUAUCUUCCCACAGAUGGGUGUUUCUGGAGGGUAACUGGACCUGCUCACCCUGGGCUCUGGUUGGCUCCUGGGGGGUGCCUCCCAGCUGUGCUUGGCCUGACUAGAACCUCUAGCAAGAUACUUCAGAAACCUCCUGCCCAGCCUCUGUCCCUCCUGCUCCCACCAGCUGGCCAGCCAGGAGACUGCCUCCUCCCCAGGCCUGUUCCCCUGCUGGGACUCCCAAGAGUCCCCAGCCUGCUGACCCUGGGCUCCUCACUGUCCACGUCCCUUGCACAGCCAGUGGCCAUGAGCAGCCUGGGCCUGGGGUGUCCCAGCUUCCAGGGUCUCCAGUCCCCCCUGGACUCCUCACCUUUCUUCCCUCUCCCCUGGGCCAGGCCCCACAGCAAGUCCUCCUAAGGGCCUGGAGCCCCCAACUGCCCCUGACCACCCCAGCUGCUCCUGGGCUUCAGGGUGGGUAGCAGGGAGCCUGGGGCCUGUGAAUGCUGAGUUGUGUGGUGAGGCUGCUGCCCUGUGGGUGCCCAGGUGUGGCCUGGCUGGGGGGCAGCAGGAGUCCUGGACCGGAGCCUUCAGCUUAUGGCCAGAGGCAGCUGGAGGGGGCGGGGCUCAGGAGGUUGAGUGACUUGAGCAACCUCCCGACUGGCCCAGGGCCUUCCCCAGGCCCCUAUGGCGAUAGGGGCUCGUGGCCCCUCCAGAGCUCAGGGCAGCUGCAAUCUCCAGGGCCCCCCUUUCUGUGGAGAGGGUCUCAGGAAGAUAUGAGGGCGCUGCUGGGCGUGAUGGACACAGGCCGAGCAGGCCUGGGGGGCGUGCUCUCCUUCCUGUGGGCAAGAGGUUGGCUGGCCCCUUGGACUUCCUCCAAGGACCCCUGAAAGCCCACAGGGACACUGAUGCCACUCAGGAAGAGUGAACCUGCCCUGAGCCCACAAUGAAGACAAGCCCAGGUCUCCCAGACCAAGGUCUCCAAGCUUUGCAGGACUCCUGGGACACUCCCCAGGAGGCCCCACCACAGCCCCCUGCUCAGGUGCUGGAUCCUCCUUGGGACUGACUGUGAACAGGGCAGUGGCCACACACAAGGUCCCCUUCACACCCUGUGUGACUGAUGAUCCCUGCCCAGGCCUAGUGAUGGAAGGGGGCGUAGGUCAGGGGUCAGAGGUAAACCAGUGGUUCUGCCCUCAUACAGGCAGGAGAACUCCUGUGGGGUAACAGGGGCUUGCCCCUCCUCACUGGAGUCAGGGCACCAUGGUGAGGCUCGUGGCCCCUCAUUGGAGCCCCUGCCCCAGAGAUCUCACCCCUCAUGCAUGCCCCUUCCUCCUUGUCCCCCUCUUGCGAGCCUGUCCCCACCGACAACAGCACCCCUCGGUGCACGGCCAGCAAGCUUCACCGCCUUGCGUCUAGGUGCAGUGCGGGCCGGGGUGGGGGCCAGGCCUGGGGAGAUGGCAGGUAGGGCCCAGCACCCUGUGGCCCAACUUGCCUCCUGCCACUCCAAAGCAAUUACAGUGACCCUUGAGCCCUGACCUUCUCUGGAGGUCCAGGCAGAGAGACUGUGGUGGGGGACAGUUUAGGGGAACAGAGAUGCUGGAAAUUCCCACCAUUUGACAGCCCUUCCCCAGGGUCACAGAACCUUCCUCAGGCCUGCUAAGAGGGACUUUGACCCCCAUUUGUCCCCCAGAUCCACCAGGGGCUCCUGGAGGACCACACACAGAUUCUCCUGCCCCAGAGGGUGACCCCCCAUAUCCCAUUCCAUGCCCCCAGCUACUCGCAGGAUCAAGCAUUGCCCUCCCCAGUGCUGUCCCCAAGUUCCCCAGCCCAGCCCCUUCGCUGCUCCCCUCCCAGGCUGAGCGCCUCUCCCCACACAUGCUGGUCAGCCACUCGCUGGGGGCCUGAUCUGGGAACCUAGGGGCCCCUGACGUUGCCGUCCUAGAGGAUGAGGUGUGAGAAGGGGCCCUGCCUGUCGUGACCACCCUUCUCCCAGCCCAGGGCCUGUGAGAGCUGUGGUCCCCGGACAGGAGAGGCCGCAGCCAGGGAAGGGCCAGGGAGGCUUUGCUCCUUCCUGGCACUGCUGGCUCUGCGGACCCUGGCAGGUGAGCCCACGGGUGGGAACCCACACUUGGUCAUCCCACUGGCCACAGCAAGAGGAGUGACCUGAGCAACCUCCCUGCUGUCCUCCUGGGACACAGGGACGGACACCAGAGCCCUGCCGCUUUCUAUGAUGUGGGAGGGGGAAGGCCUGUCGCUGAGGGUGGCGGGAAGGGUGCCUGGGGCUGGAGUUGCACACUGACCCCUGGGCAAGGAAGGCCACCCCUGAGAACCUCUUGAGUGUGGGUUUCCUGGUGCCGAGCCUGAACAAGAACAGGUGUGACCCUCCUGUUCAGGCCCUGGAGUUCUGGGAGGGGCCGGGCAGGGCGAGUGAAGGGGCGGGGGCAGCAGCACUGGCUUCUGGGAGGAUGGGCUCCAGGGACAAAGGAUCGUGCUUGUUGCCAGUCUGGACCCUGAAAUCUCUGACCGCGCGGUGCCCUCUGGCUUGCAAGAGCGAGAGCCUGGAUGCAAAGCUCCACCUUCCCCGCUGCCCCGCUGCUGGGAGGUCACAUGACAACCACCCCCGACUCCACUCCAGGCCAUGUUGAUGUCAGGCAGCCCCGGACUCACAGCCUCAUUGUAGUGGGGAAACCCCACAGCAUGUGGCAGAGCCGACAUGGUGCCCACGUUAAGGAAGAAAAGAGGGGGCACCUGGCUCCAGGGAGUUGCCUCCCUGUGACCCUCAUGGUAUUCAUCACCAGGACGGAGUCCAUGUCCCACGGAGCUGAAGAAUGAGACCGUGAACAGCAGAGGUUCAUUUAAGAAAGUGAUAGAGGACAGACCCCCUUCUAGCCCUCAGCGCUUACCUCUAUUGUCAGUCCUCUUCCUUGUCCCUCCCCACACCGAGAGCAAAGCACUGGAACUUGUUUUUGCUUCAGGACAAAAUAAUCAUCAGUGGUUGGUUCUCUUUCUAGUUUUGAUCAAAAAGAAUUCAGACAUUAAUCAGUUUCCCCUUCUCCCGACUGCUCCUCCUCCUUCCCUGGCUACACCCUGCCUUUUUAAACUUCAGAAGCAGUUGUUGGCUGACUUCCUCUCAACCCCUCUGGACUCUAGCAGAUUUCCUCUUCACUGACCCUCACCUUUGUACCAGUGCUGACUGCCUGACCCUCCCUGCCUCACCUGCUCCGCCACAGCUCCAGACCGUGUGCACGCUGCGGCUCCAUGGCCAGCCCUGGCGAGGCCAGCCGGGCCCACCCUCUCCGAUGUUUGGUUAUUUGCCAAGGUUGCAGAGCAGGGAAGGAGCCUGCAGAUUCAAUAUCUUGAAAGGACACAUGGGCAGGAUCCUGACAGUGGUGAGGACACAGAAGACCCAGGGUGGUCAGUGCAGCUGUGGGCGGGGCUCAGACCUGCAGAGGCUGAGCCAGAGUCGCUCUCAGAGGCACCUCUGCCCACAGUGAGCCUGGCUGUGCGGGUCUGGCGGCCUUUGGUGUCACCUGUCUCCACCGGCUGGUCAGGCCCUGGCGGUUUCUGCCAUGGAUCGAAAGGCCAGUUCCUAGGGGAUUCAGAGCAGAUGUCGCUGAGGUCCUUGAGACCUUCCCAGUUUUUAAGAAAGAAUGUUUUUUUCCUGACUCUCAGUAAGAAAUGUACCUGGGCGGCCAGCAGGACACGCUCUCCCAAGGGAAGCGUGGGCCUGGUGCACAGCCGUGUGCCCAAAGCAAGAGGCACAAAGACCACCCCGCCUUCGUGGGCGCACUCUGUGCUUCCUCUGUGCAACUUGAGAGUGUGUGGGUGUGCCCGCUUGGUGGGUCUCACAGCCCCAAAGCACAAUCUGCAGACUUGCAGAAACUGUCCUUCAAGAGAUUUCCGUGCCGGCUGGGGCUGUGGUUCAGUGGUAGAGCUUGCCUCGCAUAAACAAAUAAGAAAACACAAUCGUGUAGUGUCCAUCUACAACUAAAACAUAAAUAAAU
Molecule: long non-coding RNA, 4495 nt
Filed under: Marmota monax (woodchuck)
Lineage: Eukaryota; Metazoa; Chordata; Mammalia; Rodentia; Sciuridae
Source: RNAcentral